CGGGGAAGGCCGGAUCCUGGGCUGUGUCCCGGCGCCCUGUGCUCCGGGGCCUGCGCUGUUGGAUUCGCGCUCCCGCCCCGCAGCCCCCU
This 89-nucleotide microRNA precursor is filed under the name Canis lupus familiaris (dog). RNAcentral describes it as "mir-8799 microRNA precursor family". It matches the Rfam family "mir-8799 microRNA precursor family". The record is from Rfam by way of RNAcentral. Lineage: Eukaryota; Metazoa; Chordata; Mammalia; Carnivora; Canidae. RNAcentral also lists the same sequence under 1 other name.